CACCGGCGAGCACCCAAACACCUUCCCUACUACUGAAAUCAGCUAGAAACAACUAACAAAGUCGUGGUUCUAUGCCUAGAGCACCACCAUGAUCAGUGCAAAUAUGCCAGAAUCACAAUCCACCGUCACCUAGAUUUUGCUCUAACGGCAGCACAACCAUCAAACCACACACAGCUGAAUAUCUCAAUCUACUGUCAACAAUUGCUUGUAA
Molecule: long non-coding RNA, 211 nt
Filed under: Citrus maxima (pomelo)
Lineage: Eukaryota; Viridiplantae; Streptophyta; Magnoliopsida; Sapindales; Rutaceae
Description: long non-coding RNA (CMAX_LNC001855)
Source: RNAcentral